This 254-nucleotide ribosomal RNA is filed under the name uncultured bacterium. RNAcentral's name for it is "partial 16S ribosomal RNA". It matches the Rfam family "Bacterial small subunit ribosomal RNA", at positions 524 to 776 of the family's 1533-position model. The record is from RNAcentral.
CACGUAGGGGGCAAGCGUUGUCCGGAUUUAUUGGGCGUAAAGAGCUCGUAGGCGGUUCGCUAAGUCGGGUGUGAAAACUCUGGGCUCAACUCAGAGACGCCACCCGAUACUGGCGUGACUCGAGUCCGGUAGGGGAGCAUGGAAUUCCUGGUGUAGCGGUGAAAUGCGCAGAUAUCUGGAGGAAUACCGGUGGCGAAGGCGGCAUCCUGGACCAUUACUGACGCUGAAUCGCGAAAGCUAGGGGAGCAAACGGG